CAUGCGAACACAAAUGUCAAAAUCAGUCACUUGUGUGUUUGCUGUCGAAUGAUAAAAAUUAAGGAAAACUGUUUUAACAUAAACAAUGCUUGAUUGAAAAUGGAAAGAAAAAUCACGAAAAAACUACACAGCUGCGGGCACAAGCUGAGUAUAUGGAGGAGAAUCCUAAGUUCUCCAGAGGAGUGCCAAUUUUUGGAAGCAGCAGGCAAUCCCUUGAAGACCAAUGGAAGAAAUUAGUUUUUAAAUUAAAUACCAUGGGUCCUUCACAAACCUAAAAAAAUUCAUUUUUUAUUAUUUCAAAAAAGUAAAAAUACAAUCAUACUUACUGGUUGUUA
Molecule: long non-coding RNA, 335 nt
Organism: Musca domestica (house fly)
Lineage: Eukaryota; Metazoa; Arthropoda; Insecta; Diptera; Muscidae
Exons: 2
Source: RefSeq, a predicted model, not a curated record